GACGAACGCUGGCGGCGUGCUUAACACAUGCAAGUCGAACGGAAAGGCCCCUUUGGGGGUACUCGAGUGGCGGACGGGCGAGUAACACGUGCGUAACCUGCCCUCGACUUCGGGAUAACUUCAUGAAACUGGGGCUAAUACCGGAUAGGAAUCCUUGCUGCCUGGUGGGGGUUGGAAAGCUUCGGCGGUUUUGGAUGGACUCGCGGCUUAUUAGGUUGUUGGUGGGGUAGUGGCUUACCAAGGCUUUGAUGGGUAGCCGGCCUGGGAGGGCGACCGGCCAAAUUGGGGCUGGGGUACGGCCCAGACUCCUACGGGGGGCAGCAGUGGGGAAUAUUGCCAAAUGGGCGGAAGCCUGAUGCAGCAACGCCGCGUGCGGGAUGACGGCCUUCGGGUUGUAAACCGCUUUCAGCAGGGGCGGAGCUUGUGGUGACGGUACCUGCAGAAGAAGCACCGGCUAACUACGUG
RNAcentral lists this ribosomal RNA (465 nucleotides) under uncultured bacterium. RNAcentral's name for it is "partial 16S ribosomal RNA". It matches the Rfam family "Bacterial small subunit ribosomal RNA", at positions 28 to 507 of the family's 1533-position model. The record is from RNAcentral.